This 4954-nucleotide long non-coding RNA is filed under the name Xyrichtys novacula (pearly razorfish). The record is from RNAcentral. Lineage: Eukaryota; Metazoa; Chordata; Actinopteri; Labriformes; Labridae.
AGCGUCCGUCCGGUCCGGAGAACAACGCACUGAACUUGACCAGAGAAUGGGACUUGAGCAUGCAAGUAAAGAGAGAGAGAGAGGGGGGAAAAUGAAAUAGCACUCUUACAAAUCUCUUUCUUCUCAAACCGACGACAGCCCGAGUAAGACUCGUUACGCACUUUGACUUUACACCAUUAAAACACACAUUCCACAUUUAAGUAGUGCUUUUCAUUAACUCUUGUGUCAUGGUUUAAAUGGAAACAGUCUUCACUUUUGAGGUCGUUGUCCGAGAGAUAGUAACCAAUAAAGUACUACCAAGAAUCAAAAUAAGAUCAACCAGUUGAAACGUAAAAAAUAAUGAUAGUUCCUCUUUUUGGAUUAAUAACAUUAAAAUCAAAAGCAUGACUUAAACACGACUAUUUCGUUUAAUUCAUCUAUCACACGGGUAGUCAAUGUUUGCGACACUUCACAUCCCUUCACGUGGCUGUAAAAUAAUAAAUAACCGUUUAUUUUACCCCCCUCACACAGCUCGUGUUGCUCCAAACGUGUUUAUGAGGACCUUUUAAGUUACAAUUACAUUCUUUAAAGCCUUUACGUUUUUUUAAUAAUUGCCAGCCGUGUAAGUUGAUCCUGCUUUAUUUAAGGCAAACGAUUAUUUUUAAUGUCCGUAUUUAACUUUUAUUUUCAAAGGCAUCGGUAGCCACAUAUCUAGAGGACAACCUCGCAAAUAGAAUAACAGUAUUGCUGCGUCCUUUGGGUAUUGGAGGUUCAGAGUGGCAUGUAGAGAUAUUUUACGCGCACAGUUUCCUCAUUGGUUGCAGCUAAGUCUGAUUUAUGGACAAGCAGUCAGAGCAACACAGAGGCUCCGAGCUUUGCUUUGGAAUUCAGAUUAUCCAGGAAAGCCAAUAUCUGCGGAGAGCUAAACGUCUCUUUGUGGAAAUGCUCAGUGGAGAGCCGAAUAUCAUCAUGAAACGUCUGUCACUCGGAUCCACAGUCUGCCACUGAAAUCUCCCCUCCACGCGCAAAAGACUGCGCCGUCACCACUCACCGUUUAUCAAGUUGAACUGAUCGUAAAUAAAAAGAAGGAAAAGUACAUUGUUGAGGAAAAUUCUAAAUUAUUUAAGCGAUUUAUCAUAUUUUCCUAACCCUUUCACCUGAUAGGCUCAACCCCGCGGACCCUGACAUCUGAUCACAUCCGCAAAAAAACUUGUUUGAUGCCUCAGAUUUAUGGACAAACUAUGGCUGCUCGUCCUCAUCCUCUUAUGUUCCAACAAUUUAUACGAUUUCAUUGCAUAUUUUUUGCUCUGUAAAUACUUUUAAUUUCCAUAUUUACAACAGGUGUGCAUGCAACACGCGUAGUUUCGUUAUGAUAUUAAGGAAUGACUUAUUUUUUGUGCCAUUUUAUUUUGUUUUGUCGCGGGAUAAUUAUUGUAAACGAUAUUUCCGGAUAAAACAGGUCACAUCCACACGACUCAGCAAAUGUUUAAUAUAAAAGACAGAGAGUUAAAUUAAGAAUUCCUGAAAUAAACUGCUCUUAUAUUUUGUUUUGCGACAAACAUGAAAUGUGUUAUCAGCUGUAAUUUGAGUGACAUUUAUCCUGUUUUUAAAAGAGUGAAAAUAGAGCUGAACAUUCAGAGUGGUCAUGAGAUCAGUACGCUUUUGAUCUUUUUUUCCAUCUUCUCACUUUGGCCACAUUUAUUGCUCACAGAAUCACCUUUUUUAUCCUCUGCACAAACAGGAUCCUGACGUACUUAACGAUAAAUCUAAUUUUCCAUAUGCUCGUCUGUCAGCUGCCAAAAGGGAAAAGGCGAGUCUCUUUUCCAUGCAGCAAGCAAGUGUUUUUUCGGACCAACGAAUUGCAUCGAAGUCAGCAAACUUUAACUGUCUGGAGUGUCUUUUCCAAAGCAGGUGUCCUGGCCCCCUUCUGCUGCCCUGCACCGGUCUGCAUGUGGCUCGUUUGGCCUCAGCUCCCCUGGGUGCCGUCGGUGCGCACACAGGCUGGAAAAACAGGCCGGGACAUUAAAGAAACGCGUGUUUGGAAAAGGAAGACUCGGAUGAGGUGUAGAGGAAACGUGCUGCCUAACUCUGGCUGCUCUUAUCAGCGGCCCAGUCCAGGUGGAUCAGCCCGGGGAUUUAUUUCAAACUCACUUUCCCCCCUCUUCUUUUGGGUCACACGAGCGACACACCUCGAUGCCCAAGACUGAUAAUGCGCGCUGGCACUGAUGGCUGAAUUUAUUGACAUAUUUAUUACAAGCGGGCCCAAAGGCAGAAGAAGAGAGGAAAUGAAAACAAUAUAUCUCCCAGGGGUGUUAUAAAGGUACUUUUUAACACGUUCUGAGCACAAUUAUGUGAUCAUAAAAGCGCGCAGUUAUGGAAUGCCGGAGUGGAUAAGAACCAGUGGUCCAUAGUUUUCCUCCAAUUGUUUGGAUCAACGUCAGGUCAACUUAUUAUUAUUAUUAUUAUUAUUAUUAUUAUUAUUAUUAUUAUUAUUAUUAUUAUUAUUGCAGCCCGAUUAUUGGCCUAUAGCCUUAUUUUUUCAGUGGAGUGGAAACAGAAAAUCAACAGACGUCAUCACACAGCUUGCCUGAAUUGAAGUUAUGUGGAUUAUUGUUGUUGAAAGAUUGAAUUUUAUUGUGAAAAAAGCAGCAAUCUCUUGAGCAUCAGCGGUCAGAAAAUGGCAUUAAUCAGAUAAUGACUUGAUGAGCUCCUACAACAGCUCCAUUUCUCUUCACAGACUGUUUUUUAAGAGGAAUAAGAGAGAGAGAGAGAGGGAGAGCUAUUUGCGAAAACAGAAGCAGGGAGAGAUGGUAGCGCUAAAAGCUGUUUUGUUCCGGAGAGGUCUCCGGGUCUCUGAAUAAAAAGGUUUAGGAGACAGGACAGAAGAGAGGAGAGGAGAGGAGAGGAGGAGAAGAGAGGAGGAGACAGGAUUAGUCCAAGUGUAAUAAAGUGAGUAGGCGUCUGACUCUCAGCAGCCUCUACAGUCAUUGUUGGGCCUCAUGUCCAGUACUUAAUGUAUUCAGCUUUCAGCAGCAACGAUGAGGAGCAUCACACUUGUACCUGCUGUCCAGAUAAAACCAAUUUAAAGGAAAAAAUACAGCAGUCUGCAUGUAUGAUGUGAGGAUAAUAUAGGUCUAAAGAAGAAAAAAAGGCAGAAAUUUACAUUGAUGUUAUUAUUGGGAAAAUUACUUCUUGGCUGUCAGGGGCUGUGAUAGCUGGAAGAUUGUGGUCCCCUGCAGUGACCCACAUCCCUCUUUUGGGGGCUACAGGUAGGGCUGAUUAUGGAGAGAGAGAGAGAGAGAGAGAGAGAGAGAGAGAGAGAGAGAGAGAGAGAGAGAGAGAGAGAGAGAGAGAGAAGCUGGUCAUCCUCUGUGGCCUUUUUUAUGCAACACACACACACACACACACACACACACACACACACACACACACACACACUCAGCGUUGCGUUUUAUGCUACGUGAAUGGUUGUUAAGAAGUUAUUUCUGACCCAACGUUCAAAAUGAAAUUAUGAACUCAUACACAAACAGAACAAUACAUGAAAAAUAUAAGAUGAAACGAUCAACGAAUGCCAGGUGUAACUUUGCUCUUACUGCAGGUUAUUAUUAAUGUUCCCUCUCACACAUAGAUAAACAGGCAGAUGAACAACAUUAAGACAGUUCCCAAGAUUAAAAUAAAAAUCAUGUUUCCAGACCUGUUUGCUCAAAUGUUAAAAAACUCUCCAUGUCUGGCCUGCAUAGAUGAAAAUAAUAGGCAAUUAAAAGGAUGCUGUUCAGUGAGGCUGAUGGGAAUAUGUCUGCAGUCAAACUCAUUAAAACCUCCGAUACACUCGAAGUAUCACGAUAACACGUUACAACGUGAAAAAUCGUUGAAAUAAGACGCACAUCUGACGUUUUUCUCACGCAAAAUGACGCGGUUAAGUUUUUUUAAAAAGUCUGAGUUAAAGCUAAAUGUCUUACGAACAACCUUGAAAGUACACACUUAAAAAAAAAAAGCUGCCCAUGAGAGUUAAACUGAAGUCAACGGGAAUAAAAAAGGGCGCGCGCAUACGUCAACACGCGCACAUACAGAGAGCGCCUUGGAGGUUCUUGUGCGGACAGACAUGCUGGGAAAUCGCCUGGAACUGUAUUAAGCCUGUCGUCCUUAAAACAAACAAUGGCACCAUGAAAUAAAGGCUUAUGCGCUCAAAGUCAAAGAGCCCCCUCAGCAACUCUCUCUGUUUAUCUCUCCCUCUGUCUGACACGCGCGCGCACACACACACCAACCAUUUCUUGAGGGUUACACAGCCGGGGCUGGCAGCUCGGGCGCGAGGGGACCAACUUUGCUCCUAUGAACUCUCACCUGUCAACACAGAGCAGAGGACUUUACUUGGUAAACACGAAAGGACUUUAGCUGUUUACUUCUGGCGGCAACUUAGCCUAUUUUCCUCACUGCAAGGCCGCGGUCACAGCUGGCUCUGCGGGUGCUUUGAGUGCGUGUCAAGGCGAGGUUAAAUCUACGCCAAACUCCGUUCAAUAAUGUGCCAAUAUUAAUAUGACCAUCCCGUGGCAGCAUUUCUUGAGUAAGAAGCCUUACAAUAAUCUUUGUGCAAGUUUGUCUGAUCCAUGGGCUGAAUUCGGCAACAAUCCAAGUUGUCAUUAUUGCAUCAAUUCAGCGUGGAUCAACUUUUCCCCUCAAGAUUUUACCUACAACACCCACUACCGCCCUGUAGCAUAGACCUGAAAGGUACAGACUUUGAGGUCUGGUUUAUUUUUGCUGCUUAAAGCAAGACUGUAUUCAAGGACCACUUUACACUCUCUGAUCUUUUCCCUCCACUCAUAAUUUCUUGCCCUUCAAAAAAGUUAAACCUUUUCCAGUCGGACAACAUGCAGCUUUACAACGCUCUCUGUCUAUCCUUUUUUCUAGAUCUACAUGAGCUUCAUCCACUACCGCGACUUCACUGGAAAUGAAAAAAAAAAAAAAAAAAAGAAACGGG